CGUAGGGUGCAAGCGUUAAUCGGAAUUACUGGGCGUAAAGCGUGCGCAGGCGGUGAUGUAAGACAGAUGUGAAAUCCCCGGGCUCAACCUGGGAACUGCAUUUGUGACUGCAUCGCUGGAGUGCGGCAGAGGGGGAUGGAAUUCCGCGUGUAGCAGUGAAAUGCGUAGAUAUGCGGAGGAACACCGAUGGCGAAGGCAAUCCCCUGGGCCUGCACUGACGCUCAUGCACGAAAGCGUGGGGAGCAAACAGGAUUAGAUACCCUGGUAGUCCACGCCCUAAACGAUGUCAACUGGUUGUUGGGUCUUCACUGACUCAGUAACGAAGCUAACGCGUGAAGUUGACCGCCUGGGGAGUACGGCCGCAAGGUUG
This 370-nucleotide ribosomal RNA is filed under the name uncultured organism. RNAcentral's name for it is "bacterial SSU rRNA". It matches the Rfam family "Bacterial small subunit ribosomal RNA", at positions 526 to 896 of the family's 1533-position model. The record is from RNAcentral.